RNAcentral lists this ribosomal RNA (253 nucleotides) under uncultured bacterium. RNAcentral's name for it is "partial 16S ribosomal RNA". It matches the Rfam family "Bacterial small subunit ribosomal RNA", at positions 524 to 776 of the family's 1533-position model. The record is from RNAcentral.
AACGUAGGAGGCGAGCGUUAUUCGGAUUUACUGGGCGUAAAGCGCGUGCAGGCGGCUCUGUAAGUCAGGCGUGAAAUCUCCCGGCUUAACCGGGAGGCUGCGUCUGAUACUACAGGGCUAGAGGUCGGGAGAGGGAAGUGGAAUUCCCGGUGUAGCGGUGGAAUGCAUAGAUAUCGGGAGGAACACCAGUGGCGAAGGCGGCUUCCUGGCCCGCACCUGACGCUCAGACGCGAAAGCGUGGGGAGCGAACGUG